GAUGAACGCUGGCGGCGUGCCUAAUACAUGCAAGUCGAGCGAACAGACCAGGAGCUUGUUCCUCUGACGUUAGCGGCGGACGUGUGAGUAACACGUGGAUACCCUACCUAUAAGACUCGGAUAACUUCGGGUAACCGUAGCUCAUACCCUAUAAUAUAUUGAACCGCAUGGUUCAAUAGUGAAAGACGGUUUUGCUUUCACUUAUAGAUGGAUCCGCGCUUCAUUAGCUAGUUGGUAAGGUAACGUCUUACCAAGGCAACGAUGAGUAGCCGACCUGAGAGGGGGAUCGGCCACAGUGGAACUGAGACACGGUCCAGACUCCUACGGGAGGAAGCAGUAGGAAAUCUUCCGAGAUGGGAGAAAGCAUGACGGAGCAACGGCGCGUGAGUGAUGAAGGUCUUCGGAUCGGAAAACUCUGUUAUUAGGGAAGAACAAAUGUGUAAGUAACUAUGCACGUCUUGACGGUACCUAAUCAGAAAGCAACGGCUAACUACGUG
This 497-nucleotide ribosomal RNA is filed under the name uncultured bacterium. Its description in RNAcentral is "partial 16S ribosomal RNA". It matches the Rfam family "Bacterial small subunit ribosomal RNA", at positions 28 to 507 of the family's 1533-position model. The record is from RNAcentral.